This is a long non-coding RNA of Tetranychus urticae (two-spotted spider mite), 2118 nucleotides long. RefSeq lists it as uncharacterized. The record is from RefSeq and is a predicted model, not a curated record. NCBI's taxonomy places the organism in Eukaryota, Metazoa, Arthropoda, Arachnida, Trombidiformes, Tetranychidae.
CAGAAUCAAGACGAUGAAGAAGAAGACAGAGUUUGGCGCAAGAGAGGACAAGGGAAGAAGAAAGGAGAGGCCCAACCUCUGACGAUAAGGUUCAAGGUUCCCUUUUUUGACUUAUUCAAGCUUCUUCAUUUGCUAAUCUCUAUCUGUAUUCGAGUUCAUGGCCAGAACCUUGAAAUGAUGGAAGACAAGUAGAAAGAGUUAACAGAAAGGAUUCAUUGCAUGAAACGCAUCGCAUUUUUGGCUUCUUCACUUUUCAUCUUUUGAACACACAAAACAUGGAUUCCUUUCUCUAUCUUAUUUAUACGUCCUCUGUUGAAGGAUUUUAUCGAUCAUUUGUCUUCAUCUUCAUCAUCUUCUUUCACCAUCAUUUCACUGGUUCCAGCCAUUCUUGCCAGUGGUUCAUUUUGUCACCUGAAAGGUCUCAGACAGUUUCUCAAAAUUCUGGAAAGGAUUACUUCAAGCAAAAACAUAUUUAGAAAUUUAGAAACUCUGAAUAUGUUUUGUAUUUAAUGGUAACAAAUGAAAUUGAUAGUUAUUAGAUGACUAAAGUGUCACACUGAAUCUUACAUCUCAUGAAUAUGGCUAUCUGGCAGCUGCCUUGGCAUUAAAGGCUUAACCAAUGCUUCGAUUGAUUGCAUCUUGGUUACCACUAAUGUGUAUGUUCAAUAGUUCAAUAAAGAGGAUAAAUUGCGGUUUGCUUCAACUUUUAAUUAAUUACCAACUCAACCUGUUGUUCACUGGUUCAAAAUAGAUUCCUAUCAUUUAAUAACAAUAACAGCUUAUUGCCCAAUCUUAAUUAUCCUUUCAAUUUAUGCAUUUGAAGGGUUUUAAUAUCUUUAAAUUAAACACAUUUGUGAGCAUAUUAGUUGAUCACAUGUAAUUUCAUCAGAGUGGUUAAGAUACACUUUGAUGAAAUUUUUAUAUAAUGUUCAAGUUUCCUAAUCUGCCAGAUUGAAUACGAUUUUACAAGAAUUAUUGAAUUUAGGUUUCUACUAUUGAAUACUGUGUGGAAAGUAUCUUUUAAAUGAUCAAUUUAAAUGGAUCAAUACCUUUCAUUGAAAAUUACCAGCUCAUUCAAUCAUAUUCAAUUCAUCAAUGACUAAAUUGGUUGCAAUUUUGACUAAACCCAGAAAAUAUACAACAUAUCGUUUCUUUAGUAAACACUUCUUGGUUUGAGUGGUUCAUUUUGUUGUAUUGGGAACCUAAAAAUAUCAAUAAUAUCUGUAGACAACCAAGAAACCAAUUUUAAUCAUAUUAUGAGUGAAAUACAAAUUUCAAGAGGUUCGUUGUUGCAGUUGACACAAAAAUUGCCUCUACAAUUAAUCAAUGACAGUAACUCUGAACUUAUGACCAAUUUUCCUCUUCCUUUACCUCUUACAGAUCAUGUUUUACAUUGAAACAAAACUAUUUGUAAGAUUUUGCUUCUAGAUUAAAAUGGUUACUAUAGUGCAAUUAAAAUUAUCUGGUUGAAGAGUUAUAAAUUUAUUAUGUAAAAAAAGUAGCUAAGUGUUAACCAAAUUAAGUUAGUUGUUUUAAGGAGGCCUCAGCAGUUUGUUUUUGGCAUCCUCAUCUGAUAUACCAGUGAACAAGUGGUUGGUGCAGACAACAAAACAAGGCGAAAUCCAAAAAUAUGAACAUUGUACAAUGAAGAUGAACACUUUAAACGAUAAAAAUUGGCUAUAAUAAUCAAUGGAUCGUGUAACAUUAGCUUAUCAUCAGGGAAUCCAUCAAGAAAAUCUUUACUGGUGAUCAAUUGAAAUUCACUCAUUGGAUCAACAAGACUUAAUAGAUUGAAACUGAUAACGACAGACAAUUCUUUGUUUCAAUUUCACUAAAAUCAUCACCAUAACAACAAAGACAGGAGCUUUGGGAGUUCGAGGUUUCCUGCAUUCAACUGAUGUUCAUUGGAUCACAACCAAAACAUUCACCGCAUUAUUUUUGUUCACAAUUUAUUGAGCUUAAAAUUACUAAUAAUUGAUCUAAUUUAAACUUAAUUAACGAUCAAAACUCAUUUGAAUGCAGCUUAAAGUGAGUUUCAAGCUACAGAUAUGCAAAACCCAGCAAGACAAGUAAACAUCAACAGAGAAACGAUAAUAAACAAAAAUGAUUACCAUCUAA